This 394-nucleotide ribosomal RNA is filed under the name Theileria ovis. RNAcentral's name for it is "SSU rRNA". It matches the Rfam family "Eukaryotic small subunit ribosomal RNA", at positions 498 to 924 of the family's 1831-position model. Lineage: Eukaryota; Apicomplexa; Aconoidasida; Piroplasmida; Theileriidae. The record is from RNAcentral.
GGCUAGUCUGUAUUGGAUGAUGGGAAUUUAAACCUCUUCCAGAGUAUCAAUUGGAGGGCAAGUCUGGUGCCAGCAGCCGCGGUAAUUCCAGCUCCAAUAGCGUAUAUUAAAAUUGUUGCAGUUAAAAAGCUCGUAGUUGAAUUUCUGCUGCAUUGCUUUUGCUCCUUUACGAGUCUUUGCAUUGUGGCUUAUUUCGGACUUUGUUUUACAAUGUCCGGAUGUUUACUUUGAGAAAAUUAGAGUGCUCAAAGCAGGCUUUCGCCUUGAAUAGUUUAGCAUGGAAUAAUAAAGUAGGACUUUGGUUCUAUUUUGUUGGUUUUAGGUACCAAAGUAAUGGUUAAUAGGAACAGUUGGGGGCAUUCGUAUUUAACUGUCAUAGGUGAAAAUUCUUAGA